Long non-coding RNA from Dermacentor andersoni, 7493 nucleotides. RefSeq lists it as uncharacterized. NCBI's taxonomy places the organism in Eukaryota, Metazoa, Arthropoda, Arachnida, Ixodida, Ixodidae. The record is from RefSeq and is a predicted model, not a curated record.
AUCGUCGCCGCGCGCCGUAUACUGUAUGCGCGACUGAAAGCAUGCGAGGGCGGGCCGGCGAACGCGGUUCACUCUCGCGCACGCAAGGGAGGAAGCGCACCGUCUUCCGUCGCGCGCAAGACUCCGGGGGCAGAGUGGGGACGGGGCUCCUACUCCGGGCGGCCGAGUGAGCCCGCCCGGGCCGCUGUAUCGUGAAAGCCACCUCCGACGGGGACAGUCCACAGUGCGCUGUGUUUUCGCGGCUUAGUUCGCGUUGAUGCGAGAGGCAGCGCGAAGGUCAAUCCCCUCGCCGUUGCUGCCGUGCUCCCUCACUCCAACGUUAUGACAACAACUUUGCACAAUCCUUGAGCGAGAUGUGUUCAUGUUUACCUGCGCGCGCGCGACACAGUGCUUGUAAAUUUAGUUAGUAUGCCUACGUUUGCAAGUUUAUACGGCCUGUAAAACUACUAUCCCUACUUCGUAUAAAGCUGUCCACUAAGUUGCUACGGCAAUCGAUGCUUCGCUUUCGGGCCAAACUGCGACUUCUUUUUUUCUUUUUCUGUCCUGUCAUGUCACGGCAAGAAAGGUGCAAAUAGAGGUACUGUGCGCGGUUAGAGCCUACAGCAGAACAGGAAUCCCGACAAAAGCAGGUUUUGUGUUUAUGAAUAAUGCAACUGGAGACAAAAAAAAAAAUAAAAAACGCAACAGAGCUGCCAAGCAUCACAAGAAAGGAAAUCUGGUUUGCUGAUCGUCAUCCAAUAGAAAAAAAAAUCGCAGUUUUGCCCAAAAGGCGAAUCACCGAUUGCGAUAGCAAAUUAGUAGAUAGUUAUACGAAGUAAAGAUAGUAGUGCCACGUCGCAGAUCGCUUUAGACACACGAGCGCCGGCAACGCGUCUCUACGGUGUCCGCCAUUCGCGUGUCCAACGCCGUGGUAGACGCCGCGGUUGUCUCCACUCUGCACGAAGCGGCGGGCGAGUACAUCGAGGCACCCUAGCAGCCGGCGAAGAAGAACGCCCCUCCUCCCUCGGCCUGACCCCCCCACCCCCCACCUCGCCCGCCACAGGAGAGGGCACGCAGCUGGGCGGCGGUCCUCACUCGCGCACGCGAGUUUGAACCGCGUUCGCCGGUUCACCUUCCCACGCUUUCACUCAUAGGGAACCUCACGGCGACAGCAGAAAUGCGCCUAGAGUGUCCAUAUCAUUGAUAUCGCAAUACAACAAAAGUCGGGACACUCGGCCAUCCCGACUGGGUCAAGUCGGGGCCGUCUCGCUUUUCUCACGUGAAAGACUCAUGUGCUUAGCAAAUGUAUGCUUAGCAAGUGUUUAGCAUAUGUCUAGCAAGUGCUUAGCAUAUGCUUAGCAAGUGUAAAGGCAGGAAAACAUGACAUUUUAAUUCGAUAGUAAUGUAGGUCUCGAAACGCGCCGCACCUUGCGUCGUAGACAUUGUCGGGACAUGGCGAAAUUUGCUCGCGUCGUGUAGCAAUAAGGUUAUAUGUAUAGUAGCGUACGUUGCGCACAACAAGGAAUGAACAAGAGUUGGGAAUGUCGUGCCAGCACUUCUAAUUUUGUCCACGGGAGGGUUCUGUACCGUGCACCCAGACUUCAGCACAUGGCGCUUUUGCAUGCGGCCACUAUGGGAAUGAAUCGAACCUCCACCUCGCAACUACUCGAACAUAUAAGCCCCAAGUCACCCGCGACCGCAGCGCAACGGAGCUCGAACAUACUUUCAAAACAAAUCUGUGAAUUUUGUGCGAGAUUCAGCUGGCUGUCAAUUGUUACGACUGGCUCUUCCCGAGGGGCUGAAUUACUGCCAGUCAGGUCAACAUCGGAUGGCUCUAGAGAACCCCGCGUGACGUACGAUAACACGAAAGAUUCUUGGGUGGACGGCUGCCUGCAAAUCACCAGCAGUGUGCGCGUACAGCGUUGUGAUUACAAUAGAUUGUAUAGAUAAUUACUCAUUACAAAUCGACGCUAAUUGGAUGCUUUCGCGGUCGGUUCGGCUAAACUAAGCAAAUAGACCAACUGUGCCGAGAUGCAGACACACAAUGUCUAAUCAGUAUUAGCCAACGCCCUUUUUUUCCAUUUGGUUCAAAUGAUAACAAGAAUCGGUGAGAUUUUGCAUUUUGCUUGCACGACGUCAUUAUGCAUUAGCAAUAAAGUUAGCAUUCUUUUCUUCUAACUGGUAAGACAUCUGUAUUGCGAAAAAUAGAUUUCAUUGGCAGCUGUUGCAUUUACUUUGAGAUUCUAUGCAGAUUCUUAGCAGUUGGACACGGACACGUUGUUUGUUUGCGCGGAACUCAAGUCAUGCAGCGUUCUGCACUUUAAAAUCUUUCGGGAAUCGCUAUCAGAAACGAGUUCGGUGCACACAACGACAAUGGCAUAACAGUUACGUAAUGUAUUACCCACGAAUCAAUGCUUGCUCAACCGCACCGUUAUAUGGAUGAUGUAUCAUCGGAACGUCGAGUUGGAACAAAAACUGGUGCCAUAUGAUAGUUUGCUGAAACGAGAUCCCUCUAAGCACGUACAUGUGGUAUUUUAUAACAUUUCGGCUCACGUGCCGUUGAAGGGUAUAAGAGGGCACAUUUGCUAAGACGAGACGUUCACCUCCUGAACUUUUCUUUUUAUUUCUUUUUUUUUUUUUUUUUAUGCAACACGACCAGGGACUUCGCGAUAAAGCCGAUUUUCUCCUCGCCUAUGAAGACUCCAGUGUAAUCGCGAAACUUCCGGCGUAUUCGUCAAUUUCAGUUUGUGCGUCUCAAUUACGAAUUUAAGGUUUUUCGUCGAGCCUGUGGUUAGCACACUUUUGCUCACGUGUGUGCAAACGCGUGUGAUGACGUAAGCACGAAAGACUUACGACAGUUCACUUCCUGCUCAGUCUACCCCUUGGGGACGAUCGCUGGUUUCGCUGCAUGCGAACGGUGCGUAUAAAAAAAAAUGCACCCCGAAACACACGGCGCUGCACUGCACUGUCAUGCACGUUAUUUGCAAGCUUGUGAAGGCAUGCUGCGUUCAAAUUUGCCAGCGCACCAAGACGAGUGUUCCGUGCAUAUUCGCACGUGCGCGAAGUGGUCCGCUUAGAGCUUCUGUUUCGCAGAGACGCGCAUGUGACAUGUCAGGCGGAACGGUUCUUCCGAACGUCCGAACGGUGGCUGACAGAAAAUGCUGUCAAACACGCCCCAACGUACGGUGACAGGCGACCGUGCCACUGGAGUUGACACCUGCGCCAAGCGUACACACACCGGACGGGACACGCGCGCGAUCCGGGCAAUUUAGCGCGUAGGCUCGCGCAGUACCGAAAUUCGAUGCCCCCAGGGGCGCGCAAACGUCGUUUACGCUCUACGAGAUUAGCAAAUGCGAUCGCAAAUGUGCUUUUGUUUUAUUUUCUUUGCAGCGGGCUUGUCAAGCAUCGAUCUCUAUCGCUAGUGCGGAGGAUGGCGAGAGAAAAGAGAAGCAAUUGCUGGCCGGGUCCCAGGCGGCAGUUGCGGUUUGUGCACCAGAGGGAGAGAAACAAAUGCGGACCGCAAGCUCGGCAACAACCGCAUGCAACCGUCUGGUCGACGUACCGUUGGUGCGGGACCUUUGCUUCCCUCCGGGAUGCUUGGCAGGAUCAGCGGGUCCACGAGCACUUGCGUCAUACUGCCGAGUACCGGGGCCAAGUGGCGACGGCUGUGCGGUCCAUGACACGAGAGACGGCACGAUGCACAGCGAAAGAAGCGCAGGAGUGCGCUCGCGCGGGGCAGCACUGCACUUGGCGACGGACGGACGCCGCUGUGACUUUUUUGGGAGGAGCGGAAGUGGUGCUGCCAUCUGCAGGCGAGUGGCGGCACGGCUUCGCGACAAUUUGCGACCUCCGAGAUUGCCGACUCAGAGUUGCGUUCGAAAGAUACAGAGACUACAGAGGUUCGCAGUCAGAUAAAAACUCCAAGUGAUCAACUGGUCUAACAAGGGAUGUCUAAGUGUGACAACGUCGACUCUGAGUUGUGUUCGGGAAGCGCUGGCUUUAAAGAUAUUUCUUUUUUUUUUUUACCCACUGUCGAUGUCGGAGGUUACGGUGUAGUCAUUGAACGUCUCGGAGGCUGUAUAUUAAGUUUAUGUUUAGGAACCUCAAGGUCUGAGUGUCCGCAUUUCGUAGCAAUCACUUGUAAUACAGGAACAUAUUUUUUUUUUCUUUCUUUUGGCCCCUAGUGUGUAUUUUUUAUCUAACAAAAGCUGAUUUGUGCUAGAUGUAUUUCCUAGCGCUUCAUUAUGCGAGAAGCUUAGCGGGCAAUUCAAAUUUUUCCAGAACGUGUCCAGAAUUUGUCAUGAGGUUGACCUCAACGUCAUGAAGUGCAGUUAUGAUGGCGUUUGUUAAAAAUUCUAGCUAGCACUCGCCGGAAGUUUACGAGGUCAAAUUUAGUAUCAUUCCCCAGCUUCUUAUGCGCAUUUUUGCUCCUCCUGAACGAAUGAGUCUGUGCGAUUCAGUAGAUGUAUGAAUUUUUACAACUUUAGAAUCGUAGGUUUACACGUAGGUAUAGUUUACUCAAGCCAUAAAAUCUUUGGCACAGCAUGGCACAUAGGUGAAACCUCUUACUGAACAAAAUUCACUAUGUCGUGGUUUUAAGCAAGUUUACCAGAGGCACCAGGACCUUUACCCGAGUUCACUCGUGGGAAUCACAAUAAAUAACAGUGUACAGUCGCGGGCACUAUGGGCUGCAACGCCCUUGGUUGACGGGGCCCCAAGAUAACGCCGGCGCCGACAAACGAAAGCUUUUCAUGAACACCAUGCAUUAAUCGGAAUGGUGUUCAGUUCCAAUUUUUUGUAAUGUCAGUGCCUGCGCGUGUAGUCAACCAGGGGCACAUGUGUUACAGGCCAUAGUGCACGCGACUGUAGCCAACAUAGAGUUCCCGAACUACUGAAAUGAAGUAGAGUUUCAGGACUCACUACUUUAUUUAUGACAAGGUUGGGCCAGGUUGAGCCGAUGGCUCCUGAACACAACCCCGCAGGCUAAGGUACGUUGAGUGAGGUCAUCAAACCUGACUGGAGGCCGUGAUCGGUUUGAGCCUAGUGGCAUCGUUAGCCGGACUUUUGUGCUGCAGGUUCCAAGUGCCAUUCACUGGCACCUAGAUGUUCAAGGUGACAUGCGAUGGCAUCUCAUUCCAUAUUCCCCCUUUCCAUUCCUUUUUGCCCGACACUAAAGGGACACUAAACAAAAGAUAUAGGUUCGACUGUAUUAGCAAAAUGCACACGCACACAAAGGUAGACUUUCUGUGAGAUCUUGAUCAACCAAGACGCAAAAACGAAAGAGCCGCGGCGCCGCUGCCGUCCAGUUUCCGUACCAGUUCGCCGUGACGUCAUGAAUUUUAACUGCGUCUGCUCGGCACUAUUCCGAUUUUUUCGUAUCGGUUAAUACUGCACUACAUCGCAACCUAUAGGAGCCGAAGGCUGAACACUUGAGAAAUUUCGAGACCUUGUACUACGCCACAACGGCUAGAAUAGGAUGAUACGUUUGUAAUCAAUGACGUCACGCCGACGUACUCGCGCUGGACUAAAAAAAAAAAACUGGAUUUUCAUUUUUUUUUUUUUUUUGCAGUCUUGAAACUUUCAUAGUGAAUUUACCGAAGAUGGGGCGUUGAAAGGAUUCUUUUCUCAGCCUAAACUGUUUUGGCGUUUCAAAUGUUUUGCCCGCUCAAGGUACAAAAGGGCAAAUUUCUGUAACUGCUGUUUAAAGCUUGCUCUUCAAAAGCAUGAAAAAAAUGGAAGAACUUGUUGCUGGACUAGCUAGUUGGUGCACAACAGUAAACAACUAUGGUUUCGCCCAAAACAGACAACCACAGAAGGCAUACACAAGACAGUCAGGAAAGCACCUGUCCCGUCUAUAUGUGAAUUCCUUCUGUGGUCAUCACCUGCUUCGGGCUAAAAUGUUAUUACUGUCAAUGGAUGAUGAACUUGCCCAAGCCAUGCUUUUCUCAGGACUUUGUUGCUUGAUUACAGGAUAUAUGUCCUGAAUAUCCCCCGCGCCCUUCCCAUGACCAGUUGCCGAUGCAAGAAGUGUACAGUCAAGAACUUGUAAACAACCUUAUGCUUAUUUGGACAAUGGCAAAAUAAAGAACAAAAUCGUAAAUGCUUGCGGAAAACAUGCACAAACUCCACAGGCAAAAAUGGAGCCAAAAUGCACUUGCUUUCACUUUUUAUUUCCGUUUUUUGCCAUUUGCAAAAUGCCACGUAGAGUUUCUUUUCGUCAGUGUCUGUGCAUGUCCCCAUCGUUCAUGUUUGCAUGAAUGCUUUUUUUUUUCUUUCUUACAAGUGCGUAGUCGCACCAAAAUCAUGGAUCACCAGGUAGCCCGCCAGUACUUAUUGAGCACCUUAGUCCCCAGUCUGCGUAUCCGUCGUGUCCUUCCGUACUCGAAUCCAUCAUUCAUAUAUUUAUCAUCAGCUUGCACUUUUAGAGCAGCACUGCACGACAUCCCAAGUCUGCAACAUCCAAUGUGAAGUCCCAAUUGCUUUGGCUCACCUGAACAUCCCUAGGACUUAUCACUGGGACGCCUGCCAUCGUAACCGGCACACUCGUAACCUUCUACUAGAGGGUCUGAAGGCAACAUUUCCACAUGCCUAAAGGGACACUAUACACAGACGUAUGAAUGUUAACUUUAUUGUACGAGUAAAUUGUGCUUCUGCAACACAAAAUUAGCCGCUCUAAUCCCAAAGGGAGGCGUGUAUAGCCUGAACACAAGAAUGACGUGCGACGCGAUGCCACCCUAUGAAGUUCUCGCACCAGCUUGGCGAGUUGUCGGGCGUCGACAGUGUCUACUCGAAAAAUCUGUUACACUGACGUCCUGUCGCUGAAGAUUUAGAACAAACACUAAGAAACGAGAAAUUUGGCUUUCAUUUUUGUUUCGGUAAUCAACCUUUUUUUUGGCCAAAAUAAAUGAAACAUGGUCUUCAAAGAACUGCUGCUCGUUCGUGUCCCUAUAAUGCAAAACUGUUUCACUGGCAUUAAUAUUUAGUGAAAUUGUGACUCGUACGAUACCGCACAAGCCUGUUUGCCUGCUAGAGUACAAAAGGAUUAUCCAACAUGACCCACUGACAAUUACGUGACUAGUGAAGUAGUAUUGUUAGCUAACAGCUGUUUAUUGUGUGAGAAAGAGUAGGGCUUUAGCAAAGCUCAGUGAUCGCAUGAGAUUUGGCAUGCCUAAGCUUUCCUAGGCCUUUACGCUUAGUUGCAGUGCUUUCAUGUCCCAGCUGAGCCAGAUGAGGAAAAGAGUGACACAGAAAUCUUUUGUUUCUUCCCACUAAUGUCAUGUCACAAGCUUUAUAUGUAUCAUGGGUGUUUCUUCUCCCUUCCUGCAAAUCAACAUCAGCGUGUCACGGAAAUCCAUAGCAACAGUGUGCGCUGUCAUUCCAUGACACACCAAUAAAACAUGCACCAGUAAGUUCAAAACAUCUCUUUAAUAUAUACACAGGGCAGUGGACCCAAGAGUAUGUACAAAUGCCAUGAGACAGGCGUAAGAAAACGAUUUCCAUUCUCUCUUUUUUUU